GUGCUCACUUUGGCAGCACAUAUACUAAAAAUUGAAACAAUACAGAGAAGAUUAGCAUGGCCCCUGCGCAAGGAUGACACACAAGAUCAUCAUCAAAGAUUUAU
Sorex araneus (European shrew) is the source of this 104-nucleotide small nuclear RNA. The record is from RefSeq and is a predicted model, not a curated record. NCBI's taxonomy places the organism in Eukaryota, Metazoa, Chordata, Mammalia, Eulipotyphla, Soricidae.